Molecule: ribosomal RNA, 575 nt
Filed under: uncultured bacterium
Lineage: Bacteria
Description: bacterial SSU rRNA
Rfam family: Bacterial small subunit ribosomal RNA
Source: RNAcentral
CUGUGCCGGAGUUAACGCAAUAAGUAUCCCGCCUGGGGAGUACGGCCGCAAGGCUGAAACUCAAAGGAAUUGACGGGGCCCGCACAAGCGGUGGAGUAUGUGGUUUAAUUCGACGCAACGCGAAGAACCUUACCAAGCCUUGACAUUCAGGUGGUGCACGGCUGUCGUCAGCUCGUGUCGUGAGAUGUUGGGUUAAGUCCCGCAACGAGCGCAACCCCUAUCUUCUGUUACGACUCAGGAGAGACUGCCGCAGACAAUGCGGAGGAAGGCGGGGAUGACGUCAAGUCAUCAUGCCCCUUAUGGCUUGGGCUACACACGUACUACAAUGGCUCUUAUAGAGGGAGGCGAGGAGCGAUCCGGAGCAAACCCCAAAAACAGAGUCCCAGUUCGGAUUGCAGGCUGCAACCCGCCUGCAUGAAGCAGGAAUCGCUAGUAAUCGCAGGUCAGCAUACUGCGGUGAAUACGUUCCCGGGCCUUGUACACACCGCCCGUCACACCACGAAAGUCAUUCACACCCGAAGCCGGCGUCGAAGGUGGGGGCGAUGAUUGGGGUGAGUGUAACAAGGAACCGAGGG